Rattus norvegicus (Norway rat) is the source of this 1573-nucleotide non-coding RNA. The record is from RefSeq and is a predicted model, not a curated record. NCBI's taxonomy places the organism in Eukaryota, Metazoa, Chordata, Mammalia, Rodentia, Muridae.
UCUCAGCUGGAGUCAGUUGGAGAGGGAAGAUCAGGAGAGAAAGGAGAGGAUACCCAGUAAAUACUGCUGAACCUUCCUGUGUGCCCUAGCCCUGCGUGUCUCGCACGCGCUGUCUUACCACCAUGAUGUCUAACAGAGUGCUGGGCAGUGCUAUGAGAUAGGUGGGUCCCAGCUCCCAGUCUUACCUGAUGCAACUGCUAUCCAUGCUCUCUACUUGGCAAACUACAGAGAUCUAGAAACCAAGUUUCUUAAAUGAGUCAGGAGACCCAGGAUCGCUUUAGGUUCUGCCUCUAGCUGAACCCGCCCAGCCAGGACUUGAGAGCCCUGGAAAUUUCUAUUACUAUUUUCUUAAUUUUUUUCAGCAAAGAAAACAAAGACCCAAACUGAGAGACUAACCAGUGCUCUGUUUGCAAACAAGCAUCAGAACCUGGGUCUUUUGGUUUCUACUUUAACAUUUUUUUACAUUUCAGUUUAGUACUCUGUUUGGUUUUUAAUUAAAAUUUCAUUUUGAUUUUUAUUUGAUUUUUUUUUGAAAGUCAGGUAUGGUGAUAUACAUUAUACUCUUGCACUCUAGAAGCUAAAGCAGAUAGACCAGGAGUUUGAGGCCAGCCUGGUCUAUCUCCAAAACUGAACCAAACCAAAAAGCUGAACAGAUUGACAGUAGUUGCUGCAGGCAGUUUGAGCCCUGCACCCAGCUUCUAACAAACACACUUUCCAUAACAGCAGCACAGCACCGCCCACGACUGGACGUGGUAGCACCACUGGCCCGGCCCUGGACUGAGUGAAAAGGAGACUGAGCUGCACACCAGCGCCCCUGUAGAUGCUGCGGCAACUGCGAAGCGAGAUUGCAUCACUGUCAUAAUAGCCAGACCUCUGUCCUACCCAGUGCCAGCUCCUUGGAGGCAACAAGGUCUAGUCUGUGACACAGAGUAACGUGAAAGGCAAUGAUGGCAUCAUUGAGGAACUAGCAACACCCUGUUUCGUGGACCUGGCUGCCUGUGGUUUGAAAACAGCUGGUGCCUACAUCUACUGCAAAGACCACCAAAGUGAAGGAAUCCAGAUUUUAAGCCUGGCAACCAAGACAGACAGCAAGAUGGUGGCACUCUGCUAUGUGUAGGUGAUGAGAGCAUGGGUGAUUUAAGCUUGUUUCUACACAGAUCUAUAACUUUUAUAUAGUAAGUAUGGAUAAUAUUUACUAAUAAUGGGGAAAACAAGUCUCUUAUUGCCUUGAUUUUUUAAAAAAAAAUGCCCAGUAUAUAUUAGUAGAAUAUCAAAUACAAGACAGUAUCUAAUUCUUAGAAUCUUUGGUCAUUCUAAAGGCCCCAGAGCAAUGGCAAACCUUGCCAGAGCAGUGAUCCAUCCUGUACUAGAAAGAACAACUCAUGUAUGUUCUCCAGAAUAUUUAAGAUGGUCCUUAGAUGUUUUCUGACUUGACACCUACUGAAUGAAUGAAAAGAAAAUGAGUUACUACCAGAAACCGGGUUCUUUGUUUGCUAGAGCUAGCUAGCCACGAAGGGAAACCUGAAGGUAACAACAGCAAGCCUCGUGUCUCAGGCAUGGGUCACACUCACCG